GACGAACGCUGGCGGCGUGCUUAACACAUGCAAGUCGAACGGUAAGGCCCCUUCGGGGGUCCACGAGUGGCGAACGGGUGCGUAACACGUGGGUGAUCUGCCCUGCACUUCGGGAUAAGCCUGGGAAACUGGGUCUAAUACCGGAUAGGACCACGCUCUGCAUGGAGUGUGGUGGAAAGCUUUUGCGGUGUGGGAUGGGCCCGCGGCCUAUCAGCUUGUUAGUGGGGUGAUGGCCUACCAAGGCGACGACGGGUAGCCGGCCUGAGAGGGUGUCCGGCCACACUGGGACUGAGAUACGGCCCAGACUCCUACGGGAGGCAGCAGUGGGGAAUAUUGCACAAUGGGCGCAAGCCUGAUGCAGCGACGCCGCGUGGGGGAUGACGGCCUUCGGGUUGUAAACCUCUUUCAGUACCGACGAAGCGCAAGUGACGGUAGGUACAGAAGAAGCACCGGCCAACUACGUG
RNAcentral lists this ribosomal RNA (464 nucleotides) under uncultured bacterium. RNAcentral's name for it is "partial 16S ribosomal RNA". It matches the Rfam family "Bacterial small subunit ribosomal RNA", at positions 28 to 507 of the family's 1533-position model. The record is from RNAcentral.